Molecule: ribosomal RNA, 226 nt
Filed under: uncultured eukaryote
Lineage: Eukaryota
Description: partial 18S ribosomal RNA
Rfam family: Eukaryotic small subunit ribosomal RNA
Source: RNAcentral
GGGAAACUCACCAGGUCCAGACACAAUGAGGAUUGACAGAUUGAGAGCUCUUUCUUGAUUUUGUGGGUGGUGGUGCAUGGCCGUUCUUAGUUGGUGGAGUGAUUUGUCUGCUUAAUUGCGAUAACGAACGAGACCUUAACCUGCUAAAUAGCCCGUAUUGCUUUGGCAGUACGCCGGCUUCUUAGAGGGACUAUCGGCUCAAGCCGAUGGAAGUUUGAGGCAAUAA